Molecule: transfer RNA, 78 nt
Filed under: Candidatus Gorgyraea atricola
Lineage: Bacteria; Pseudomonadati; Candidatus Omnitrophota
Description: tRNA-Pro
Rfam family: tRNA
About the family: Transfer RNA (tRNA) molecules are approximately 80 nucleotides in length. Their secondary structure includes four short double-helical elements and three loops (D, anti-codon, and T loops).
Source: RNAcentral
CGGGGAGUAGCGCAGUUUGGCUAGCGCGCUGCGUUCGGGACGCAGAGGUCAUGGGUUCAAGUCCCAUCUCCCCGACCA